ACUGGGUGUGUUGGUGAGCACCUGUAGUCCCAACUGCUAGGGAGGCUGAAACAGUAGGAUCACUGGAGCCCAGGAGUUCAGAGCUAGCCAGACAACAUAGUGAGACUCCAUCUUUU
Molecule: small RNA, 116 nt
Filed under: Marmota monax (woodchuck)
Lineage: Eukaryota; Metazoa; Chordata; Mammalia; Rodentia; Sciuridae
Source: RNAcentral